UAUAUUUAAGUAUUUAAUGUACAUUAAUUUUUGAUAUUAAAAGUACUAGUUUAAUUCUAGUAAAUAUAA
This 69-nucleotide transfer RNA is filed under the name Tegyrius keralaensis. RNAcentral describes it as "tRNA-Gln". The record is from RNAcentral. Lineage: Eukaryota; Metazoa; Arthropoda; Insecta; Coleoptera; Chrysomelidae.